Molecule: long non-coding RNA, 159 nt
Organism: Entelurus aequoreus (snake pipefish)
Lineage: Eukaryota; Metazoa; Chordata; Actinopteri; Syngnathiformes; Syngnathidae
Exons: 3
Source: RefSeq, a predicted model, not a curated record
GUGUUAACACUGGCGGUGACUACAUGACUACGUGCCACAAUUAUUCGCAGGUAUUGGAUCGAUGUCAGAUAUCAGUAUCGGAUAAGCCAUGCGUCUUAUGACAACACAAGAAACAGUGAACAAGAACAAGGAAAUGCUGUACCACGCCUAGGAAGGGAG